AUGGAGAAGUUUCAUGGAAUGUUGGCAUCCUCCUGCUGGCCUAGCUUUGGAAAUCCCUCGUGCAGGGUGGGUGGCAGCUCGCCAGGCCAGGACCGAAUAUUUCCCUCUCGUGAUCUCGUCUAUUUCCAAAGAUACCAGGGGCUGUGUGCUCUGGGAGACUGGUGGCCACAAUGUGGAUUGCGACACCAGCGGCGUUUUCCUGAUGACUGGUUACUUCAUUUAAUUAUUAUUACGUUGUAUGGUCUAUUUUGGGUGUUUGAGAUUUUAUUAUUUUUUGAAAGACAAAAAAUAUACUUCCUCUGUAAAAAAAUAUAUGAGCAUUUAGAUCACUAA
Molecule: ribosomal RNA, 333 nt
Filed under: Triticum aestivum (bread wheat)
Lineage: Eukaryota; Viridiplantae; Streptophyta; Magnoliopsida; Poales; Poaceae
Description: partial small subunit ribosomal RNA
Source: RNAcentral